AAGUCGUAACAAGGUUUCCGUAGGUGAACCUGCGGAAGGAUCAUUAACACGUAUCCAACGUUAAACAACCCUGUGAACUUUAAGUCCCCUCUUGCAGCCCAUGAGGAACAGCAAUCCCGGUAAAUCAUUGCCAAACAGUUUUGAUUCGGGACCUCUGUCCAAAAGGAGUUGCAAUCGAAGGGUGGAAGCCAAGCAGUUAGUGAAUGACAGUGUCACUGACUGUGUAAGGAUAACGCCUCACGGUUGCUAGAGGUCGAUCACCGACCGGCAGACAUGUCACAGGGUCACCACGCCCCUUAAUCACUCCACUUGAAAAUGCCCCGCCUAGUGGUAACGCGCUAGGUAAAAAAAACCGAACAACUGUUAACAAUGGAUAUCUUGGUUCUC
RNAcentral lists this unclassified non-coding RNA (387 nucleotides) under fungal sp. RNAcentral describes it as "partial internal transcribed spacer region". The stretch from base 1 to 46 matches the Rfam family "Eukaryotic small subunit ribosomal RNA", at positions 1786 to 1831 of the family's 1831-position model. Lineage: Eukaryota; Fungi. The record is from RNAcentral.